UGUGCCUACGGGAUGCAGCAGUAGGGAAUUUUCGUCAAUGGGCGCAAGCCUGAACGAGCCAAGUCGCGUGAGGGAUGACGGCCCUAUGGGUUGUAAACCUCUUUUGCCGGGGAGCAAAGUGCCGCACGUGUGCGGUUUGGAGAGUACCCGGAGAAAAAGCAUCGGCUAACUCCGUGCCAGCAGCCGCGGUAAUACGGAGGAUGCGAGCGUUAUCCGGAUUUAUUGGGUUUAAAGGGUGCGUAGGCGGACGCUUAAGUCAGCGGUAAAAUUGCGGGGCUCAACCUCGUCGAGCCGUUGAAACUGGG
Molecule: ribosomal RNA, 305 nt
Filed under: uncultured bacterium
Lineage: Bacteria
Description: bacterial SSU rRNA
Rfam family: Bacterial small subunit ribosomal RNA
Source: RNAcentral